AUUGAAUGAAAAAAAUCUCGUAUUGAACUAGUUUGUUUUAUUUUAUGCAGAGUCAAAAGGUUUAACAUAAGCUGGUAUUUUCUCAACAAGUGAAGUGUUAUCCUGGAAGGGGUUUUACUAUGUAGUCCUGUCUAAGUGGGGACACUGUAACUAUUCAAUUCAGGCUGGCCUCAAAUGCAGAGAGAUCUACCUUCCUGUCUGUUUGAAUUCUGGGAAUAAAGGAAAACGUUAUUUACAUCUGGCUGGUCUGUAAUUUGCAAUGCAGACCAGGGUGGCCUAAAAUUCAAGGAGAUCAAUUGGUCUGAUUGGGAAUCAAUCUCGCCCAAGAUCCAGCUAUACCACUUUGGGCAUAUACCCAAGGAAUGCCCAUUCAUACCACAAGGUCACUUGCUCAGCUAUGUUCAUAUUAGCAUUGUUUGUAAUAGCCAGAACCUGGAAACAGCCUAGAUGCCCUUCAACUGAAGAAUGGAUAAAUAAAUUGUGGUACAUAUACACAAUGGAAUACUACUCAGCAGAGAAAAACAAUGACAUCAUGAGGUUUGCAAGCAAAUGGAUGGAUCUAGAAAACAUCAUCCUGAGUGAGGUAACCCAGACUCAGAAAGACAAACAUGGUAUGUACUCACUCUUAAGAGGAUACUAGAUGUGGAACAAAGAUGACUGGACUGCUACUCACAACACCAGGGAGGCUACCUGGAAAACAUGACCCCAAGAAAGAUACAGGGAUCGUCCAAUGAUGGAGUAAUGAAAGAGAUCUAUAUGAACAGCCUGGAUGUGAGUGGGGUUAUUGAAGGACGAGGGUCGAGGGAAAGACAGCUUGGGGGAGCGGGAGAUCCCAGAUGGAUCAACAACAGAGAGGGAGAACAAGGAAUAGGAGACCAUGGUAAAUGAAGACCACAUGAGAAUAGGAAGAAGCAAAGUGCUAGAGAGGCCCACAGAAAUCCACAAAAAUGUCCCCAAAAUAGACUACUCUCAAUGGUUAACAGACUGCCCGAACUGACAUACUCUGGUGAUAGGAUGGCCAAACACCCUAAUUGCUGUGAUAGAAACCCCAUCCAAUGACUGAGGGAACUGGAUGCAGAGAUCCACGGCUAGGCCCCGAAUGGAGCUCCGGGAGUCCAAUUAGCAACAAAGAGGAGGGUUUAUAUGAGCGAGAAUUGUUGAGACCAAGGUUGGAUAAAGCACAGGGACAAAUAGCCAAACGAAUCAAAACACAUGAACUAUGAACCAAUGGCUGAGGAGCCUCCAACUUGAUCAGGCCCUCUGAAUGUGUGAGACAGUUGAUUGGCUUCAUCUGUUUGGGAGUCACCCAGACAGUGGUACAGGGUCCUAUGCUCAGUGCAUGAGAUGGCUGUUUGAAGCCUGGGGCUUAUGCAGGGAAGCUUGGCUCAGCCUGGGAGGAGGGGACUGGACCUGCCUGG
Peromyscus californicus insignis is the source of this 1418-nucleotide long non-coding RNA. RefSeq lists it as uncharacterized. The record is from RefSeq and is a predicted model, not a curated record. Lineage: Eukaryota; Metazoa; Chordata; Mammalia; Rodentia; Cricetidae. The transcript has 3 exons.